This 253-nucleotide ribosomal RNA is filed under the name uncultured bacterium. RNAcentral's name for it is "partial 16S ribosomal RNA". It matches the Rfam family "Bacterial small subunit ribosomal RNA", at positions 524 to 776 of the family's 1533-position model. The record is from RNAcentral.
CACGGGGGGAGCAAGCGUUGUUCGGAUUCAUUGGGCGUAAAGGGCUCGUAGGCGGUUCGUUAUGUCGGAUGUGAAAGCCCUUGGCUCAACUGAGGAAGUGCAUCCGAAACUGGCGAGCUAGAGUAUGUAAGAGGGUCGCGGAAUUCCCGGUGUAGAGGUGAAAUUCGUAGAUAUCGGGAGGAACACCGGUGGCGAAGGCGGCGACCUGGGACAAUACUGACGCUGAGGUGCGAAAGCGUGGGGAGCAAACAGG